GAAUAAACCUCCUGUAAUGUCACCUAACUGCAGAUAGAUCCCCUUUAGCUCUAUUGGUGUUGAUAGACUCCCUGUGCUAUUGGCCAAAGUACGGUAGACAUGAGCUGAGAAAAGAAACAGGAAAUGCAGGAUAAAGAAUUGCAUGUGGCAUCAUAGGGCUCCAGGGUUGAAGGGUGUUGAUUCUGGAUUUUACCACAGCAUCCUGUGUAUUAAUCUGCGUAGCGUAUGUUUCUGCGUAGCGUAUGCUUGGGCAUUGGCACAAGUAGCACAAGUCGUUGGUCGGCAAGAAUAUCCAAGGAUCUGACAUGUCUA
This is a long non-coding RNA of Asparagus officinalis (garden asparagus), 312 nucleotides long. RefSeq lists it as uncharacterized. The record is from RefSeq and is a predicted model, not a curated record. The transcript is spliced from 3 exons. Lineage: Eukaryota; Viridiplantae; Streptophyta; Magnoliopsida; Asparagales; Asparagaceae.